Molecule: RNA transcript, 9347 nt
Organism: Physeter macrocephalus (sperm whale)
Lineage: Eukaryota; Metazoa; Chordata; Mammalia; Artiodactyla; Physeteridae
Gene: RIMBP2
Gene name: RIMS binding protein 2
Exons: 3
Source: RefSeq, a predicted model, not a curated record
AGUCCAUGAAUAAGUAAAUAGUCUCCCAGCUUGAUGCCAAAGCACAAACAUCGGAGGAGGCUUGGAGAGGCUGGUGUCUACGGGGGACAGGAGGCUGGUGCUGGCGGGGGGCGGGCAGGCAGCCCAGGCUGGUCCCGUCUGAUACACUAGGGCGCUGAUCCCCAGCAUCUUAUCGUUGGCUGCUUGGAAUUGCAGAUGCACCGUUACGUUAUCGCAUUUAAAUUUAGCUCUUGUUCUCCCUUUGGACGGGGAUGCAGUGUUUGAAUUAUUUCACCGUGAAGGGAAAGCAGUUAGAACACAGGGCCCUCCCUGUGACUUAUCGAAAUAGGAGGUCUGGCCGGCGAGUCUCCGAGGAGGCUGCAGCUGUGGCUCAGAGGAGAAGGCUCUUGAGAGCACCUUCAGCGUGGAGGACGUCGACGUUCCCUUCAACACACCUUGACGGUCAGUCGCCGAGGUCGCGGUUCGCCGAGGCCAGCACGUACAUAAAUCUGCCGUGACCGUUAUCUUCGAUAGGAUCGUAUCCAUUCUUUUAAACAGGGGCCAGGGCCCCUUUGUGUCGUGAAAACAUUAAAAUGUUUAUUCCUGGACCCAAGUUGGAGAAAUUAUGUCAUCAACAACACUUUCACGGAGGUCGUGAAUGUGUGGAAACAUCUUUAAAAUCAUUUUCCUUUGUCAGAUUUCAAGGGCAGGAGAUGAUCCUUGAAGCCACAUCUUAGAGAGGUGUAUCAAGUAAAAGGUUAAAGUCUCCUGUAUAACUUGCCCAUCCCUGGUCCCUAUCAGUAAUCACUAUUAACAGUUAGGUGUUUCCUUUCAGAAUUUUCAGACCCCUGCCCGUGCGUACACAAAUCUACAUGCAGACGUAAUGUCUUGAUAUAUAGUUAUCUGUGCAUGUACAAAAAUGGGAUGAAUAUAUUGAUGCCUGUGUCUGUGCAUACAUUUAUGCGUAUAUGUAUCCAAGUACCUACACAUACUGUUCUGUGACUUUUAAAAUUCAUUUUCCAUGACUCAGUCAGGAAAUUGAUAUAUUCAGUUUGUAAAAACUCAAGUGUCUUUGACUCACUCCCUUUCACCAAUCUCACCAGCGUCAUCAGUUUGGUUCUUCUGGACCUUUUUCCUACACAUUUGUGUGUGUGUGUGUGUGUGUGUGUGUGUGUGUGUGUGUGUCUAACAGCCUGACUUUGUACAUUAUAGGUGUUCAGUCAAUAUUUGCUGAUACCGGGGGUCAUUGACGCCGGGAGGAAAUGGACCCGCACCAGCCACUGGCACUUGGGCCACCCCAUCUGUUUGUUUACUCCACCUCUUAGAUAAGUUGUAUCAUUCCUGUCUCCUGGAGUUGGCUGGCUGUUUACUCAAUGCCCUGAGCUCAUGGAACAGACAUUCUAUCCAAGCCCUGAGGAGGGUCAGAGAGAGAGAAAUUUUGUCUUCUCUGCUUCUGUGGAGAAUUUUGUGACUGUCAGCCUGGGGAAGGCAUAGCCGAAAUCUGUCGGCCAGCCCAAUAUUUCCAGAGUGUUCUACAGAUUUCACAUAUGAGAGUGAAAGGAUACGGUGUUUGUCUUUCUCCAUUUGACUUAUUUCACUUAGCAUAACGCCCUCAAUGUCCAUCCAUGUCACAAAUGGCUGAGUUUUUUUGAUGGCUGAGUAGCAUUCCAUUGUGUAUAUGUACCACAUCUUUUUCAUCCGUUCAUCUGUUGAUGGAAACUUAGGUUGUUUUCAUACCUUGGCUAUUGUAAAUAAUGCUGCAAUGAACAUGGGGGUGCAUGCAUCUUUUUAGAUUCAUGUUUCCAUGUUUUUUGAAUAAAUACCCAAAAGUGGGAUAGCUGGGUCAUAUGAUAGUUCUAUUGUUAAUGUUUUGAGGAAUCUCCAUACUGUUUUCCCUAGUGGCUGCACCAAUUUACAUUUCCACCAACAGUGAACAAGGGUUCCCUUUUCUCCACAUCCUCUCCGACAUUUGUUAUUUCUGGUCUUUUUGAUGAUAGCCAUUACGACAGGUGUGAAACUGGACAGCCACAAACAAAAGAGUGAAAAUAGACCACUGUCUUUUCCUAUACAUAAAAAUUAACUCAAUGGAUUAAAGACUUGAAUGUAAGACCUGAAACCAUGGAACUCCUAGAAGAAAACACAGGUGGAACCCUGGCUAAUAUCAGUCUUAGCGAUGUUUUUGUGGACCUCACUCCACAGGCAAGGGCAACAAGAACCAAAAUAAACAACUGGGACUACGUCAAACUAAAAAGCCUCUGUGCAGUAAAGGAAACCAUCAUCAAACCCGAAAGGCAGCAUACCGAAUGGGAAAAUAUAUUUGCAAAUCAUAUAUGUAAUGAGAGUAAAUAUCCGAAAUGUGUAAAGAACUCAGGCAGCUCAAUAACAAAAAAAUCUGAUUAAAAAAUGGGCAGAGGACCUGAAUAGACAUUUUUCCAAAAAAGACAUACAGAUGGCCAACGGGCACGUGAAAAGAUGCUCAACAUCACUGAUCAUCAAGGAAAUGCAAGUCAAAACCACAAUGAGAUAAAAUUUCCUGUUUUCAGUAUCAUGAUGUCCAUAAGACACACAUGCUUGUUUAAGGAAAAAGGGGCAGUUAUUAGGUGGGACACAGAAAUGGCAAAACUUGUGAUAUUUGGGGAAAACAAGUUUCCUCCAACCUCAGAGAAUGCAGCCUUGUGAGCUGCAGGGGGUUCCUGGGCUCCAGGACCAAAGUGAAGACUACCGUUAGGCUGUACUUCCCGCAGGUUCCGGGGUCUCGCUUUUGGUUGGGACCUCAGGACAGACUGUCUCAGCGUAAUGUCAUUUGGGUGGAAAUGUCUAGUUAAAAUGGCUCUUAAUGUGAUUACUGUUCAUGACUAAGGCAAUUAUGUAUUUUAAAUUUCAUUUUGUUUGUUUCUUUUUUUUUUAAGCAGCCAAGCCAAAAUGGAAAGGGCUCUGUUGCUAUCGAAGUUCAGGGCCAAUUAUAGUCACAUGAUCGUUAGUGCUGUCCUGGGCCUGCAAGGGCAGUAAAAAUCAAGAGAGUGCAAAGGUGUCUGGCAAGGGCUUCAGAAACCGCUGUGAAACUCAGACUCUCCGCUACAGUAUACGGGUCUUGAUAGCGUCUGUUUCACUCUGCUCUCUUGGCAAACCCAGACCCUGGAAUGUAGCUGACGUGCUCCUUUUGUCCUGCAGGAAGAGAAAUGCGGCCCCUGGCCUGGCUGUACUCUCAGAAAGGCUUUUGGUGCCCGCGUUGCACUGUGCUAUUGUGUUUGUCAGGGCUCUUUAGCUUGCAAAUGACCGAAAACCAGCUCAAACUAGCUUAAGCACAAAGGGGAGUUAAUUGAAGAGAGUGUAGAUUCUGACUUCAGGAACGGCUUGAUCCAGGACCCCAAACUAUGUUUGGGGUUUCUGAGCCCGUUUCCUCUGUGUUGGCUUCGGUUUUAAUCAGAGUCCCUUAACCAUGCAUUUAGGGUUCACAGGCCUGGUGCUGUUUCCCCAUUGACUUGGCAUCUCUACAAUUAGGCUCAAAAAGGCAGCAGAACUUUGUAUUAUCAUUUCUUGGGCCCCAUACUUUUCACUCACGGAGAGGAUCCACCCAAAUUCUACCACCUUAAUGCUCUUGUUUCAGAGGACCCGUUUCCUGCAACCUUGUGGCCAGCAUCAAGAGUUUGCAAGUUCAGCUGAGGUCAUUUCCCAUAUGAGAGUGACCGUGCUCCCCAGGAGACUGGGGUAAACAAUGCACUCAUCCUUCACCAGGAGACCACCUUGUCCCCCCUGCAGAGGUGUGCUUGUGCUUUUGCAGCCCUCCCCAUCCAGCCAGGUCACCAGGCACGUUGCUCACCUGCCCGUGGCUAACAUGACUGUUCCACGGAGCACUAACAGGGGUCCCAGCCUCACCACGGGAUCCAGGUUCGUGGGCUCCCACGUGCUCGCCGUGGCUGUGUGGGGUGGUCCAGUCUGGAUCACUUAGAGAUCUGUUAUGGGUUGAAAUGUGUUCCCCCCCAAAUGCUAGAGGUCUGAGCCCCAGCACCUCAAAAUGUGGCUUUCUUGGAGAAGGGGUCUUUACAGAGGUAGUCAAGUCAAAAGGAGGUCAUUAGGGUGGGCCCUAAUCCAGCAGGACUGAUGUCCUUAUAAAAGGGGAAAUUUGGACACGGACAAUGCACGCAGGGAGAACACCAUGUGCAGCAGAACAGAGAUGGGGUGAUGCUUCUACAAGCCGAGGGAAGUGGCCAGUGGACCGCCAGGACCUGGGGGAGGGGCAGGGACAGACCCCCUAGCACGGCCUCAGGAGGGGCGCCUUGAUCUCAGACUUCCAGCUUCCAGAACCGUGAAACAUACGAGCCUGUUUUUUUAGCCACCCAGUUUGUGACGCUUUGUUACAGCAGCCCCGGCAAGCAGACACAAGGUCUUAGGAUGCAAACAGCACAACCUAAUUCUGGCAAUCUCCAAACCAGGCAUUUUCUAGAAGAAAUCAACAGGAAGGAGAGGACUUGGCUAUCUGGGGAGUGGGUAUUAAUGGCCGAUCCCUCAGAAUGACCCCCAGAGGAACGAAUCUGCUGCAGACACUGGUUUUGGUGUUUGGGUGUCUCUGCUCAAGAUUUAAAGUCAGGAGACUUCCUGAUCCGGGUCUCUUUCUCAUCCUGUGGCUGGAGGGGGCUGGACGCCAUGCUUGCCAUUCUCACCAGACCCGGUUCAAAGCGAAGCCGGGCGCUUUGGCUGGAAGAAACGUGAGCACAGCCUCCGCUGGCCUGUACGCCCUGUUGCUCUCCGGAUCCAGGAGCCUCUUUCUUUCUUCUUUCCUGCAUCGAAUCAUGGUGCCGGGGAGCGCACCCCAGGGAAACACGGCCGUGCUGUGGGCAGCUAUGAGUGGGGUCCUCCAUACUUCCACGAGCCUCCUGGGAUGAGGGUCCUGUCCCAUGUGGCCUUGUGUUGGCUCCCGAGUACAGAGGGCCACGGACAGCGUGCAGUCUGCAGGGCCGCGUCCUCACGGACACUCUCCAGUCAGCAUGCCCAGCCUUCAGGCGUCUUUGACCUGCUGCUGUCCAGCCAGGGUUUGUCCCCGUCACCAAUUAGUAACCAGGCAACAGAGCCUUUGCCACUGGCAGACGCUAUCAACAGAGAGUGGCCAGCUGCCCAGAGUAAAUGGAAGAGCUUUGGGUUCCGAGAGGAGAUUGAGAAGGGAACAUUAUCACAGGUGGAGCUUAAUUUUUAACCUGUGGCCAUGGACCAGGUCUGCUUCCCAUGACGACAUGGCUUUGUCAGAUUAAGGCUACAUAUGAGUCAGUCACUAUGGAAAGCAGUGGAUAUUCAGAUAAAAAUAUCCCAGGCUGUUAAUCCAGAACUGUGGCUUCUAAAAUCUCUACUUGAUUUAGUUCCCUGUUUGAUUAGGGCCAGUAACUCACAGGCAGAAGCUCCACUCUGUAAACUGGGCAGUUUUAGGUUUCUCUGAAUUUGAAGAGUCUGUCUCCCAAGGAACUAAGAAAUCAAUCGUGACGGGGCAGGUAAAGGGCAUCCUGAUUUCCGUCCCGGAAGACAUGAGGGAGGAAAAGUUCUCGAUAAUGAGCUGCAGCCAUCGGUUUUGUGAAGAAAUUAUCUUAUAGCCUCCACACUCCCUGACACCGUGUUUAUUUAUUUGCUUGUCUGCGGACUGUGUGACGCACUUCCAUAGCGACUUCAUGAGGGCAGGGAAUUUGCCUUAUUUUUUCAGGGUUCCAGCACCCAGCAUGUUUCCCUGACACACAGCAAGCGCAUAUAUUUGUUGAAUAAUUGAUUGAAUGAUUGAAUGAAUCAUGAAAUGACUGAAUGAAUACCAACAUGUUAGAAAAACGUAUUUUUUCCAGUUUUUCCAAUUUGGUGCCAUAAUUUGAAGGUAGUUUCUUACAGAGUAAUUUUUUUUUUUUAAACACAGAAACUUGAACAGCAAGAAAGGUGUUAAUUUCUGGCUUUUAGACAAAGACCUAUCGCUGAUCAAAGUCUGGGCUGGAGGUUCAAACUAACUUCGUCCCUUCCUUUCUUCCUUCCUUCCCUCCUUCCCUCCCUCCUUCCCCUCAAUCUUUUCUCCUUCCCUCCUUCCCCUCCCUUCUUCCCUCCCUCCCUCUCUUUCUAAAUGGGCUGUGUGCCGUGCAUUAUUAGCAAGAUCACUGUACAAUUGAAUAUGACUGAAAGAUCUCUUUUCCAUCCUUUUCAUGUGCAGUCUUACAUUUGCUUUCUGUUGCUGGAAUUUUGACUUCAAGGUUAUUUACAUUACAAGGCUAUAAAAAAAAUUUCCAUCUCAACGCUUUUGAAGAGGCAUUUUGCCUGAAUUUCUAUUUGAAAUUCCAUCAGCUGCCAGGAUGAUUGUUCAGAUGUGGCCCCGGAGCAUGAAAAGGCGCAAAGGCCCUGGGAGCGGGUAGCACCAGGUAGAAAGGAGGCGACACGGCCCGUUGGGGUGAUAGAGUGGGAAUCUUUCCCCACCUGCUGAACAAGCCCUAUACCAGGAAAGUUGAAGGAGGGAGAAAAAAACCUGAGAACGAAGAGGAACUGAUCUUCUUGUCUUUACCAAUAGGAGAGGGUGAGAAGAUUUUUGAGUCCUUGGUCAAUUUGCCCAGAAACCUGUCCUGCUUUGGGGAGACCACCCUACCCUCAUGAGAUCAGUUACUUGGGAAACUCCAUACCUGUUUUAGUUACAAUGUGUUUUGUUAAAAAUAAUAGAAAAUCUGUUCGAAUUCGCUUAAAUAAGAAAAGAUAUUUUAGGGCAAGUCCAGAUGUAAUUUAGACUCAGAUGAGGCUAGAUGUUUUAUCACAAAUAUAUCCAGCUCGUUUCUCUCUCUCCUUUGCCUUGAAGUUGCCUUUCAGGAGUUGCAAGGCCAUAGCUGGAAUGGGUUGAAUUUAGUCCCCACAAAAGAUGUGUUCCAAUCCUAACCCCUGUUACCUGUGAAUAUAACCUUAUUCGGAAAUAGAGUCCUGGCCGAUGUAAUAAAGAUGUAAGUUAAGAUGAGGUCAUACUGGAUUAGGGUGAGCCCUAAAUCCAGUGACUUGGUAUCUGUAUAAGAAGGCAGUGUGAAGACACAGGGAUACAGUAUCUUUCUCUAUUCAGAUGGUUAGUACAGAGAAGAUGGACUUCUGAGAUUCAAAUGUUGGUGUAUUAGUCACAGAUUUUUUUGUUUCAAGUUCAUGAAUAGUCAACUCAGUCUGGCUCAAGCAAACAGGAUAUUUAUUGAGAGAAGGACUUCAGGCAAGGAUGGAUCCAGGGGCUGAAGCAAUGUCAUCAGGAUUUAGUCUCUUUCCAUUUCCCAACCCACCUUCUUCCACACCAGCUUCACCUCAGCAGGCUCUUUCCACACAGUGGCCACCAGCAGCUCUAGGCUAACCUUCUCUUUUUCCUAGCUACCUAAGCAGGAAGAAAGGGAUCUGCUUCUUUCUGAUAGCUCAGCAGAAGUCCCAAGAUUGUCUCUGAUGGGACCAACUUGGCAGUCAACCUGAGACAUCAUCUUCUUCUUAACAACUAGUUUGCUGAGGCACUUUCUCCAGGUCUGGAUCAUGUGCCCACCCUGGCCUGGAUAAGAGAACGAUGAUUUCCCUGAGAGAACUUGGAAUGUUAGAACUAGGAGAAUGGGGAAUGGCUGCAGAGCAAACCAAAGCAGAUUCUUCGUAGAGAUAGGGACAUCAUGGGCCAGGGUGAUCAAGGAGGGCUUUCUGGAGGAGGAACACCAAAGGCCCUGGGAGAGAGGCUGGAUUCACAGAGGCAGAGGGAAAACUCAGUUCAUCAGACUUUAUCCAGUGCUUCUACGCUGCGUGCUGUGGGAGAUUUAGGAACGAGUAAGACAUGAACUAGCCACUCCAUGGAUCUGAUAUUGUGAGAAGAUAAUGUGGGUUCAUGAAAGUGAUAACCAGCCAGCCCAGGCAAAAGGUGAGAAGCAAACAUUCUGGAGCAUUAGACAAGGGAGUUGGAAACCUAUGGGUUUGGAAGAGAGAGAACUGUGUUCAUUAGUUUCACAAAUAUUUAUCUGGGAGAAUCACCACCCUCCUGAUUUUUGCCCUCUCUGCUUUAUAACUUUACUCUUACUUAUAAUAAUAUUAUAUUUCUUUAAAUUAAUAUACUGGGUAAAUCUAUUUGAAAAAACUUUUAUAUCCCUAGGCUAAGUGGAAAAUCCUUCUAGAAAUAGAAGCUAAAAGCAGUCAUAGACAAGGAAACAACACUGCUAUUCAAAUCCAGCUAGAUUCUGGGGACUCUACCUAAGUCUUCAGACUUGACUCCUGCUUGCACUUAUGCCGGAAGGGAGAUAACCAAGUAUCACAGAGGUAUAAAAAAAUACAUUUUAGUGCCAAGCGGAGCCUUUCUCAUUGAAAAAAAUUCUGAGAGAGAAUAUUAAAAGAGUUAUGAUUCUAUGGUUUAUAAAUCAAAGACUAAUGAAAUGCCUGACAGGUCUGUACCUGAAAACACCUUGGGUUCCAUGAAGGACCAUCCUAUGUGGGGUCUGGCGGAGCGGAAAGCAGUGGCAAGGAGAACAAAUCAAAGAUGAAAGGUCAAAGGUUAAAAAUUCAGAAAGUCACGGACCACGAUGUCCCCUGCAGCUCUGUUCACAACAGCCAGGACGCGGAAGCAACCUGAGGGUCCGUCGACAGAGGAAUGGAUAAAGAAGAUGCGGCACAUACAUACAAUGGAAUACUACUCAGCCAUAAAGAGGAACGAAAUUGAGUUAUUUGUAGUGAGGUGGAUGGACCUGGAGUCUGUCAUACAGAGUGAAGUAAGUCAGAAAGAGAAAAACAAAUACCCUAUGCUGACACAUAUAUAUGGAAUCUAAAAAAAAAAAAAAAGGUUAUGAUGACAGGAAUAAAGACGCAGACGUAGAGAAUGGACUUGAGGACAUGGGGAGGGGGAAGGGUAAGCUGUGACGAAGUGAGAGAGUGGCAUGGACGUAUAUACACUACCAAAUGUAAAUUAGAGAGCUAGUGGGAAGCAGCCGCAUAGCACAGGGAGAUCAGCUCCAUGCUCUGUGACCACCUAGAGGGGUGGGAUAGGGAGGGUGGGAGGGAGGGAGACGUAAGAGGGAGGGGAUACGGGGAUAUAUGUAUACGUAUAGCUGAUUCACUUUGUUAUACAGCAGAAACUAACACACCAUUGUAAAGCAGUUAUACUCCAAUAAAGAUGUUAAGAAAAGAAAAAAUCGGUCAAAGGUUAAUCUUUUCAGUAGAGUCAAUGUGGAAUUCUUUUUAUCCUCUCAUGGCAAUUAGGACAGUGGGGAAAUGGCCUGAGUAAGAAACUGGGCUCUUGGCUUCAAAGGGGGCGGUUUCCUCAUGUUCCAAAGCCAGGUGGGGAUGGAGGGUAAGCCUCCUGACGCCGCUCUUUCGGGGUGGUGGUCUGGCUCUUGUUUCAGCUGGAGGCUCAGUGAAGGAACACAGGGGAUCCU